UUUCCGUAGGUGAACCUGCGGAAGGAUCAUUACCGAAUUGUCAAACGGGUUGUUGCUGGUCUUCAAACCGGGACAUGUGCACGCUCUGUUUACACAUCCACUCACACCUGUGCACCCUCCGUAGUUCUAUGGUCUGGGGGACCCUGUCUUCCUGGCGUGGUUCUACGUCUUUACACACACUCUGUAAUAAAGUCUUAUGGAAUGUAUGCCGCGUCUAACGCAAUACAAUACAACUUUCAGCAACGGAUCUCUUGGCUCUC
This 260-nucleotide unclassified non-coding RNA is filed under the name plant metagenome. Its description in RNAcentral is "partial contains small subunit ribosomal RNA, internal transcribed spacer 1, and 5.8S ribosomal RNA". The record is from RNAcentral.